RNAcentral lists this small RNA (427 nucleotides) under Vigna angularis var. angularis. RNAcentral describes it as "Non-protein coding transcript". Lineage: Eukaryota; Viridiplantae; Streptophyta; Magnoliopsida; Fabales; Fabaceae. The record is from RNAcentral.
UAUGGAAGCAGUUGAAAAUAGGCGCAAACAAAAAUUGAAAGAAGUUAAGUUGGUUGUUGUCAAAGGGAUUUCCAAAUCGAUCAUUCCACAUGAAGAGGCAGGCAUGAACAGAAAUAUUAUGCUCUGCUUUGCCAUUUGAAUGUGUUGUUGUUGCUGACACAUUUAGGUGAAAUUAGUCUCUUUAGACAUUAACAAUGAAUGCUUUUCAUAUCUUUGUAAGAAUGCUACUAAGAGCUUUGGAGUCUAAUUGGGCUGUGGUUUAUGAAGAAAUUGCUCUUUGGAUACCUAUUGAGGUUGCUAAUGAAGAAGCUUAAUGACAAACUUGAGGGUGAGUCCAAGAAAGAAAUGCAAAAUUUGGGUUUAUUGCCCACCACAAUAUGGGUGUCAUUCAACAGAUAUCUAUCAGUACAAAUAUCAGGAAUGCUGG